RNA transcript from Sapajus apella (tufted capuchin), 865 nucleotides. It is a transcript of the gene named 60S ribosomal protein L13 pseudogene, with no coding region annotated. The record is from RefSeq and is a predicted model, not a curated record. Lineage: Eukaryota; Metazoa; Chordata; Mammalia; Primates; Cebidae. The transcript has 2 exons.
AUGGAUAGUUUGAAGGAUGCCUGUUUGGAGGAGGUGAGAAAUGAAGCCAGAGAGGUAUAUUGGGAAGAUUUUGAAAACUACCUCUUGUGUUAUACCAGAACUUCAAAGGAAAGUCAAGGAACAUACAAAGGUACAAAAUGUGCAAAUAAGAAAAGAGCGUGGCGGCACUGCUUCCUCUCGGCUCAGCUGUCUUGCGCAGGAGCCGCAGGGCCGUGUGCAGCCACGGCGCCCAGCCGGAACUGCAUGAUCUUCAAGCCCCGCUUCCACAAGCACCGGCAGCGGCGCGUGGCCACGUGGUUCAACCAGCCUGCCCGGAAGAUACGUAGACGCAAGGCCCGGCAAGACAAGGCGCGCUGCAGAGCCCCGCCCCCGCGUGGGGGCCCAUCCGGCCCGCCGUGGGCUGCCACACAGUUGGGUAUCACACAAACGCUUCAGCCUGGAGGAGCUCAGGGUGGCCGACGUUCACAAAAAGGUGGCCCGGACCACUGGCAUUUCUGUGGAUCCGAGGAAGCAGAAUAAGUCCACCGAGUCCCUGCAGGCCAACGCGCAGCGGCUGAAGGAGUACCGCUCCAAAGUCGUCUUGUUCCCCAGGAAGGCCUCUGCCCCCCGGAAGGGCGGCAGUUCUGCUGAAGAACUGAAGCUUGCCACGCAGCUGACGGGACCGGUCAUGCGCAUCCGGAGUGUCUGUAAGAAGGAGAAAGCACGAGUCAUCACUCAGGACGAGAAGAAUCGCAAAGCCUUCGCGAGUCUCCGCAUGGCCGGUGCCAACGCCCGGCUCUUCGCAUUCGAGCAAAAAGAGCCGGAAGCUGCAGAACAGGACAUUGAAAAGAAACAAUAAAGCCCUCUUGGGGACUUGCAAUUUUAA